GUUCCUGUAGCGUAUUGGAUAGCGCGUUGAACUUCUACUCCAUAGGUCGUGGAUUCGAAUCCCACCUGGGAUG
Trichonephila clavata is the source of this 73-nucleotide non-coding RNA. NCBI's taxonomy places the organism in Eukaryota, Metazoa, Arthropoda, Arachnida, Araneae, Nephilidae. The record is from the annotation of a GenBank genome assembly.